UUCCUCCGACUCUACAUAAUUGCCAGAAGCUUGAAGUUUUAUUUCUUUAUGGAAACAAAUUAAAUGGUAGCAUACCUAAAGAUUUAGGCAUGUUACCAAGGGUUCGCGAAAUAGACCUUAGUUUAAACUAUCUUAUGGGUACAAUUCCAUCGUCCCUCGGCAAUAUGUCAUCAUUAGAGUUCUUGACUUUGGAAGCCAAUAGCCUCACCAAUGCAUUUCCUCUUGUCAUCUUUAACUUGUCUUCUCUAAAGAAUAUUGCUAUUACAGAAAAUAACCUCUCAGGAACCCUUCCGGUGGAUCUUUGUAGCCAUUGUCCUAAUCUUCAAGAACUGUAUAUUUCCAAAAACAAAUUCAGCGGUAAGCUCCCCUCACAGUUUAAUAACUGCAGAGAGCUUUUAGAAUUAUCUCUAUCAUACAAUAUGUUUGAUGGAAGUAUUUCAAAAGGUUUUGGGAGUUUAAAAAAGCUUGAAGUCCUCUAUCUUGGAAGUAACAACUUAAUUGGAAACAUUCCUCCUAUCAUAAGCAAUUUAUCGAUGUUACAACAGUUUGGUGCUGGAAGUAACAACAUUAAAGGAAGCGUGCCAGGUGAUUUAUGGCGUCUCCAAAAUCUGAAUGAAUUGGAAAUUGGUGAUAACGAUCUCACUGGGACAAUACCCCAAAAUAUUUUCAACAUUACCUCUCUACAAGUACUCCAAUUGUCGUUUAAUUCCUUGUCUGGAAAUCUUUCAUUCGAUACUAGGAUCCCUUGCCCUAAUCUUGAAAUCUUGUAUCUUGGUGUCAACAACAUUAGCGGUCGUAUCCCAUCAUAUCUUUCAAAUUGUUCCAACCUCAUCCGAGUAGAUUUAUCUGCAAAUUUACUCUCUGGGCCUAUACCUAGAAGUCUUGGAAACUUAAAAUAUCUCAAACUCUUGGGUCUAGGUGAUAAUCAACUAACAGAGGAGUCUGGGCAUCAAGAACAUAGUUUUCUUACAUCUUUAACCAGUUGCACAUCUUUAGAGAGGCUAUAUAUUGACCUCAAUCCCUUGAAUAUUACAAUUCCGGAAACCAUUGGAAAUUUUUCAGCUUCCCUUAAACACAUUGGUGCAAGUCAAAGCCAAAUAAAGGGUCAAAUUCCAAUGGGAAUCGGUUCCUUGAAAAAUUUGACCUUGCUUGAUUUGAGCUAUAACAAUUUGUCCGGAAAUUUACCGUCAACAUUAGGGGGAUUAGAGGAAUUGCAAAGAUUGCAUCUUAGAGGCAAUAAUAUUGGAGGAAACAUUCCAGAAGAGCUUUGUCAGCUAAUCAAGCUGGGAGAGCUAUUUCUCUCAAAUAACAAAAUUUCUGGACCCAUCCCGAAUUGCAUUGGAAACCUCAAUCUUUUGCAGAGAUUAAACUUGAGUUAUAACAAACUGACAUCAUCAAUCCCGUUGAAUGUGUGGAAUCUUGAAAAUUUGUUGUUCUUGGAUUUAUCAUCAAAUUCCCUCUAUGGAUCUUUGUCUCCAAACAUGAAAAAACUCAGAGCUAUUGAGUACUUGAAUUUAUCUCAUAACCAAAUUACUGGAAAAGUUCCAAGUAUCAUUGGUGCUUUUGAAAGUCUUAGUAAUCUUGAUUUGUCAAAGAAUUCAUUUCAAGGAGACAUUCCAGAUUCUUUUGGGCAAAUGAAAGGAAUGGAUCUGCUGGACCUCUCUAACAAUAAUCUCUCAGGUGCAAUUCCUAAGUCUCUGGAGGCACUUCGAUUUCUCAAGUAUUUGAAUUUGUCAUUCAAUAAGUUAUCAGGAGAGAUACCAUCUGGUGGACCUUUUGCAAACUUCAAGGCAAGAUCAUUUUUAGGUAAUGAAGCACUUUGUGGGAAUUCAAUUUUUGGAGUUCCACCUUGCACGAGUCCCAGUUCUAAAGGAGCAAGGAUGAAACAACUUUUGCUCAAAUAUAUUAUUCCCAGCAUGGCAUCAAUUAUAAUCUUUGCAAUGCUUGUCAUUAUGCUAAGAAGACAUCCACAAUAUAACAUGCAAAUUCCAAGUUCACUUUUCACAUUACCUACAGUGGAUUGGAGAAUGAUAUCAUAUCAAGAACUUUGUCGUGGGACAAACAACUUUUGUGAAAGCAACUUGCUUGGAAUUGGAGGGUUUGGUACUGUGUACAAAGGGAUACUGUCUGAUGGGACUACUGUUGCUGUAAAAGUUCUAAACCUGCAUUUGGAGGAUGCUUUUAAAAGUUUUGAUGCUGAAUGCAAGGUGUUAAGGGCAUUACGACAUAGGAAUCUAGUUAAAGUCAUUAGUGUAUGCUCCAAUCCCCAGUUUAAAGCUUUGGUGUUGCAGUACAUGUCAAAUUAUAGCCUUGAAAAGUGGAUAUACUCUCACAACUACUGCUUGAAUCUUGUUCAAAGAGUAGGCAUUAUGGUUGAUGUUGCAUCGGCAUUAGAUUAUCUCCAUAAUGGUCAAUUAGAAUCCGUGGUGCAUUGUGAUUUGAAGCCAAGCAAUAUUCUUUUGGAUGAGGACAUGGUUGCACAUGUUGGAGACUUUGGCAUUGCAAAGAUUUUAGCUGAAAACAAGGACGCAACCCAAACCAGAACCAUUGGUACAAUUGGCUACAUCGCACCAGAGUAUGGUUCUGAAGGGAGAGUAUCCACCAAAUGUGACAUUUAUAGCUAUGGGAUAAUAUUGUUGGAGAUGAUCACAAGAAAAAAACCUACCGAUGAAAUGUUUGUUGGAGAACUAGGUAUGAGGCAAUGGAUUGCUUCACUUCCUGACAGAAUGGAAGUUGUGGACGAUGGUUUGCUUUGUAUAGAAGAUGGAAGAGAUGUAACUGUCAUGCAAACUAUCCUUUCAUCUAUCUUGGAAUUAGGCUUGAGGUGUUCUGAAGAAUUACCAGAUGAAAGACUUGAAAUCAAGGACGUGGUGGCCAAGGUUAACAAAAUCAAAUUGGCACUACUUGGAAACAGAAAUAGGGGUGUCUGAUAUUUACGCUAUUGCUCAAGUUUUUUCUCAAGAUAUGAGGAGGAGAUGAAGUCUGCAGCAGAUUUUGUGGAACCCGCCAAGCUUUACACAGCCAAACCCCAUGGCUCUCUCUUUUGAUUUUCCUUUGAUGUGUGCACUGUUGAGAUUGUUUGUGACUUUGUAUUUCUGGAAUGUGGUUUUGAUUUAGCUUUCAACAUGGGUUUGGAAAUGAGGUAGUCUUUGUGGUGGCAGUUUGUUGAAGAAAGUUGGGUUUUGGAAUAGAUUAGUGUAAGAAAGGCGAAGACAUGUUGGGUCUUUUAAUUGAAUUUUUUUUAUAAUUGCAAUCUGUUAUAAGUUCUGUCAUUUGUAUUUGUCAAAGACUAAAUUAUUGUUAAAUGGUGCAUAAAAAAUAAUUUUUUCUUACCAACUCCUGGUUAAUUAACACUUACUUGAUAGUGGCUACUAGCUACUUUAUAUUUGUUAGGGGUGUCUCUUUCUUUAGAGAAUUUAUUAGCUGAAUGCAAUUACUUUCCCCUGUAUUCUGUAUGAUAGGAGGCUUUGUAUUGUUUUUAAUUUCGGUAUAAUAAAAAUAUGAAAUUAAUAAAAGGCACCUUUAAUACUUCACUAUUUUGUAUUGGCGAGGAUGGUUGUUUUCUGAUUUAAGAAAUGAGCUUGGUUGGUUCUAUUAGUACUUUACCAUUUAGUAUUGAUGAGUUUACCACUUAACUGAGUUUAUUGUUAUCUUCAGGCCAAUUAAUUUUGGGAAGUUUCUAAGUCAAUUAUAGUACUUUUGAUUGUUGAGUUUUUUUAGUCAUUAUUCUUUCUUUGUCUCUAAAAAAAUCAGGUUUCCUUUAUGUUUAAAUAUCUUCUAUUUUCUGUUUGGUAAUAUAUUCUUUUGAUAUACAAUAUAGGCUUUACCUUUUGGUGCUUAUCUUACAUGCAUCCCAUGUUCUAGGAUUGUGCCCUGCAUUGCGCCUUUUCUAAGAAAAUGUUUUACCUAUAAAAAUACAAAGUAGCAUACAAUGUAUACUUCUUUUUAGGGGGAUGUCUUCAUUUUCAUUUGUUGGCUAAUGUGUGUCCUCUCUCAUCGUCUCGUGCUCAGCUUCCUCCCAAUGCAGGUACAUCAAUUAUUGAUGGCUUGAAGAGAUUGUACAUUGAAAAGCCAAAGCCACUAGAAGUUGCAUAUAUUUUAUUUGGCUAGUUCCAUAUUAAUCUUUUAAACUAGAGGCUGUGGUUUGCAAAAUGGAGAUAUUUAGAUCUUUCUAGUUUUGCUGUCAAGUGUACACUCUAGAUUUUAAGGCCUCUGUAGCAGAGGAUUGAUUUUUAUUUGCAUUUUUGCAGACAAAUAGUGAUUUUGAUGCUAAACCCAUGGUCUUUUGGGUCAAUAUUCAACUGGAAAGACAACUUUUAUAAAACAUUUGCUAAAAAUGAACUACCCAGAUGCUCACAUUGGACCAGAGCCUACAACAGAUGGAUUUGUUGUUGUUAUGGUUGAUAUGCGCAAGAAUGCUCAUUCGUGUGGACUUUCCGAUAGAUUUGAUUGGUUGUCGUUUCCCCUUUGUUGUGGUAGCUUAUUGUCUCCAAUUUUGUUGACUCCAUAUUUUGAAAAUUUUAGUCAUCCUCCUUUUUGUUUAA
This is an RNA transcript of Quercus robur (English oak), 4544 nucleotides long. It is a transcript of the gene named probable LRR receptor-like serine/threonine-protein kinase At3g47570, with no coding region annotated. The record is from RefSeq and is a predicted model, not a curated record. The transcript has 5 exons. Lineage: Eukaryota; Viridiplantae; Streptophyta; Magnoliopsida; Fagales; Fagaceae.